GAUGAACGCUGACAGAAUGCUUAACACAUGCAAGUCUUUGGCGAAGCUGUGCUUGCACAGCCUAGCCAAGGCGGACGGGUGAGUAACGCGUAAGGAACUUGCCCUGCAGUCAGAGAUAACAGACGGAAACGACUGAUAAGACCUGGUAAAGUCAGGCGGACUCAUGUCCAGCCUGAUGAAAAGAGAUGCUGCAGGAGAGCCUUGCGUCCUAUUAGCUUGUUGGUGGGGUAACGGCCCACCAAGGCGAUGAUAGGUAGCCGGCCUGAGAGGGUGGACGGCCACAAGGGGAAUGAGAUACGGCACUUACUCCUACGGGGGGCAGCAGUGGGGAAUAUUGGACAAUGGGGGCAACCCUGAUCAAGCAAUUCUGUGUGCACGAUGAAGGUUUUCGGAUUGUAAAGUGCUUUAAGCAGGGAAGAAAAAAAUGACGGUACCUGCAGAAGAAGCGACGGCUAAAUACGUG
Molecule: ribosomal RNA, 463 nt
Filed under: uncultured bacterium
Lineage: Bacteria
Description: partial 16S ribosomal RNA
Rfam family: Bacterial small subunit ribosomal RNA
Source: RNAcentral